UCUUUUUUUUUUUUUUUUUUUUGAGACGUAGUUUCACUCUUGUUCUCCAGGCUGGAGUGCAAUGGCGGGAUCUUGGCUCACCGCAACCUCCGCCUCCCGGGUUCAAGCGAUUCUCCUGCCUCAGCCUCCCAAGUAGCUGGGAUUACAGGCAUGCGCCACCAUGCCUGGCUAAUUUUGUAUUUUUAGUAGAGACGGGGUUUCUCCCUGUUGGUCAGGCUGGUCUCAAACUCCCGACCUCAGGUGAUCCACCCACCUCGGCCUCGCAUAGUGCUGGGAUUACAGGCAUGAGCCACCGUGCCCCGUCUAUGGAGACUAUUAUUCUCAGCGAAGUAACUCAGGAAUGGAAAACCAAACAUCGUACGUUCUCACUCAUAAAUGGGAGCUAAGCUAGGAGGAUGCAAAGGCAUAAGAAUGACACAGUGGACUUUGGGGAAUCAGGGGGAAAGGAUGGGAAGGGGGUGAGGGAUAAAAGACUAUUAAUUGGGUGCAGUCUAUAUUGCUUGGGUGAUGGGUGCACACAAAUUUCACAAAUCACCACUAAAGAACUUACUUACGUAACCAAA
RNAcentral lists this long non-coding RNA (563 nucleotides) under Homo sapiens (human). RNAcentral describes it as "LHRI_LNC228.1". Lineage: Eukaryota; Metazoa; Chordata; Mammalia; Primates; Hominidae. The record is from RNAcentral.